ACACGUAUCCAACCUGCCGUCUACUCUUGGACAGCCUUCUGAAAGGAAGAUUAAUACAAGAUGGCAUCAUGAGUCCGCAUGUUCACAUGAUUAAAGGUGUUCCGGUAGACGAUGGGGAUGCGUUCCAUUAGAUAGUAGGCGGGGUAACGGCCCACCUAGUCUUCGAUGGAUAGGGGUUCUGAGAGGAAGGUCCCCCACAUUGGAACUGAGACACGGUCCAA
Molecule: ribosomal RNA, 221 nt
Filed under: uncultured bacterium
Lineage: Bacteria
Description: partial 16S ribosomal RNA
Rfam family: Bacterial small subunit ribosomal RNA
Source: RNAcentral